Molecule: ribosomal RNA, 440 nt
Filed under: uncultured bacterium
Lineage: Bacteria
Description: partial 16S ribosomal RNA
Rfam family: Bacterial small subunit ribosomal RNA
Source: RNAcentral
CCUACGGGGGGCAGCAGUGGGGGAUAUUGCACAAUGGGGGGAACCCUGAUGCAGCGACGCCGCGUGGGUGAAGAAGGGCCUCGGCGCGUAAAGCCCUGUCAGCAGGGAAGAAAAUGACGGUACCUGCAAAGGAAGCACCGGCUAACGCCGUGCCAGCAGCCGCGGUAAUACGGAGGGGGCGAGCGUUAAUCGGAAUUACUGGGCGUAAAGCGCUCGUAGGCGGGAUGUCAAGUCAAGGGUGAAAUCCCCGCGCUCAACGUGGGAACUGCCUUUGAAACUGGCAAACUGGAGUGUGUGAGAGGCUAGUGGAAUUCCCGGUGUAGGCGUGAAAUCCUUAGAUAUCUGGAGGAACAUCAGUGGCGAAGGCGACUCUCUGGCACAUAACUGACGCUGCGGAGCGAAAGCGUGGGUAGCAAACAGGAUUAGAUACCCUUGUAGUC